This is a long non-coding RNA of Poecilia latipinna (sailfin molly), 234 nucleotides long. RefSeq lists it as uncharacterized. The transcript has 2 exons. The record is from RefSeq and is a predicted model, not a curated record. NCBI's taxonomy places the organism in Eukaryota, Metazoa, Chordata, Actinopteri, Cyprinodontiformes, Poeciliidae.
UCUGCUUCGUUACUUUUGAUCUUUUUAAACACUUUUGAUUCUUGUUUCUUGUGUUUUUCUUCUGGUUUGGAUUCUGUGCAGCUGAAAGGAUUUUUUUUUUCCCCCAAAAAUAUUUUAUUGAGAUUUUUCACUUUGGAAAUACAAUCAUAUACGUAUCUGAACACGUUUUCUUUGUGGUUAUUACAUGACCGUAAUUAUUCUUUCUCAACACAGAGAAAUGAAAACAAAGAAAGA